RNAcentral lists this ribosomal RNA (350 nucleotides) under Geotrichum bryndzae. RNAcentral describes it as "partial small subunit ribosomal RNA". It matches the Rfam family "Bacterial small subunit ribosomal RNA", at positions 552 to 936 of the family's 1533-position model. The record is from RNAcentral. Lineage: Eukaryota; Fungi; Ascomycota; Dipodascomycetes; Dipodascales; Dipodascaceae.
UUAUAGGCUGAAAGGGUUCGUAGAAUUGUAAUUCCAUAUGGAAUUUACUAGAGUUAAAUAAUAAGAUAUAAGAAUUAUAAGAGUAAUGGUUAAAUAUAUUAAUACUUAUAAGACUAUUAAGACAUGAAAAUCUAUAUCAAUAAUCAACUGACAUUGAGGAACGAAAGCUAAAGUAGCGAAACGGAUUAGUUACCCGUAUAGUUUUAGCAGUAAACGAUGAAUGUUAAAGUCAGAUAAAAGAGUAUAAUCUCAAUAAAAUAUCUAGUCUUAAAGUGAAAACGUAAACAUUCCGCCUGGGGAGUAUAAACGCAAGUUAUAAACUCAAAACUGUAGACGGUAUAAGUUAUACA